Long non-coding RNA from Agrilus planipennis (emerald ash borer), 209 nucleotides. RefSeq lists it as uncharacterized. The transcript has 2 exons. The record is from RefSeq and is a predicted model, not a curated record. Lineage: Eukaryota; Metazoa; Arthropoda; Insecta; Coleoptera; Buprestidae.
CUAAUACACAAAUGUAAUUUCUUUCAGAUUCUUGUGCACAUGUCCUCUAAUCCAACCUAAUGUUAGGAGCGUUAAACUUCUACAGGAUUCCUUCACGCCUAAUAUGGACCAGGCGAUGAAAAUUGUGUAUUGGGAUUAUUAAAUAGUAGUUGUAGUAGUUUUCUUUGUUAAAUGGGGUUACAAAAUUUAAAUAGAUAUUGUUUGGAUUG